Non-coding RNA from Leptonychotes weddellii (Weddell seal), 6212 nucleotides. Lineage: Eukaryota; Metazoa; Chordata; Mammalia; Carnivora; Phocidae. The record is from RefSeq and is a predicted model, not a curated record.
CGCACCCUGACCGAAAGCGGUUGAGCAGUGGGCACCUGCGCCCUCUGUGACACUUGGGGCCUCCUGAGUUCCUGGAGCGAGUUGGGGCCAUGACGGGAGAGGCCUGGGCAAGGCACGCAGAUGCCCUCAGCAAGUUCGUUUUGAGUGGAGGAGCUUGGGGAGAAUUUUUAUCCCUGACUCACGUGAGCGUCUCAUUCUUGUUUUCUUCUUUUUAUAGGCACCAGUUUGUAGAAAAUAACUUAAUACUAAAGAUGGGUCCCGUAGAUAAGCGAAAGGGCUUGUUUGCACGACGACGACAGUUACUGCUCACAGAAGGGCCACACUUGUAUUAUGUGGAUCCUGUCAACAAAGUCCUCAAAGGCGAAAUUCCAUGGUCGCAAGAACUCCGACCAGAGGCCAAGAACUUUAAAACCUUCUUUGUGCACACACCGAACAGGACGUAUUACCUGAUGGACCCAAGUGGGAACGCUCACAAAUGGUGCAAAAAGAUCCAGGAAGUGUGGAGACACAGAUACCAGAGCCACCCGGAUGCCGCCGUGCAGUGACAGGUCUGCGGCUGCCGCAGUCGCUGCCAGGACACUUGCCCCAGCGCGGCUCACCGCCCUCCGGGACGCUUCCAGACCACCUGCCAGCCAUCUCAAGGGGGACGCAGACGGCAGAACCUUGCAGCUUUUUUAUUUAAAAGAAAAGAAGAAAAAAAUACCCAACCACACAAAGAACAAAACCAAUAACGAAAAGGAAUUCAGGGUCGCUUUGCUUGCUCUCUGUGCUCUGUGGAGGCUCCCCAAGCUCUCCUUGUUUUGGGGACCCAGCGCCGUGCACGUCCACCUGAUUCCCGCCCGGGCGAGUGGAACAGACUCGAGUCACCAGCUCUGCACCACACGCCCUGGUCAUGCACCGGCCGGUCCUCCUGUGGCCGAGGGGAUGGGGUGUGUGUCUGGGCUCUUCCUGCCCCUAGGUUAUCACAGAACCCGUCGGCAGGGAGCCAUGCACGCCUCUGCCAGGGUGGCUUCGAUCUCUGGCGGGUGGGAGGGUUCUUGGCUUUGGUCUGUGUACUUCUUUUCUUGUGUCCCUUACUUGAUGCCCCUUUGCCCUGCCAGGGCCCCUGCUUGCCUUCUUGCAUUGCUCUGGCUGUGAGCACUCCAUGGCUUGUGUUCGUUGGGCAGGCUCCAGGUGCGGAGAUGUGGAGCGGGCUGUCGGGGUGUGCUAUGGAGCCGCUGCUGAGGUUGAAGGGUGCCAGCAGGCCGUUCGCAUUGAACGUCCCUCUGAGCGGGGUUGGCCCUGUGGAGCUCGAAAGAAGCACAGGUCUGAAAAGAGCACUGUCAGAGGUGGGCACCCAGUUGCGCCAGGAGACAGGGAAGGCUGUGCCCUGCUCUGGGCACGAGGCCAGGGCAGCAGGGCAGACUGGGCCUGGCGUCCCCCACGUGGGGGAGUGCUGCCUGAUGAGCCCCUCCUGAGAGUUUGGUCCGAGGGUGGAACAUGCAGGCCCCCCGGCGCAGUUUGCUAGGGCUGAGGGUCUCUGGGCACCAGCGGUCUCCCAGCUGUGACACGCACCCCUUUCGUGGUGAGGGAACGUUCUUGUAGCCUGACUUCCAGCACGUUCACAUCUCCACAGUGAAAGUCUGAAAGCCUUCUCAUGCUGCCAGGUCAUUUAUCCCCAUCAAGAUGUGGACCUUGCCAGGAAGAAAAUGUUGCUCACCUUGCAUGAGGGGUAGGAACACCACACUGGAGUCUGAGCGCCCAGCCUGCUCGCCCCCUGCGCUUUCAGCCUGCCUGCCUUUCUCUUUUCAGAGGCAGCACAGUGCUGCAUACCUACCGCAGGGGGUCCACGAUUUACUGGUCCUUUGAUUUCUUUGCUGCUGCUCCCUGGACAGAGAAAGCCUGUGGGCCUGGUGGGGCUCGGAGCUCCUCUCCCUGCCCGUGUCCCUUGAGGGCAGUCCGCAGCCCCAGGUGGGCGGGGUAGAGGCACUGCUGCCUGCAGGCUGCUCACAGACUCAUAUCUGUCCCCAGGGGAUGAACAACUUUGCCGUUUCCUGGAGACUUUCACGAAGGCACCAGUAGAAGGCUCACACAGGAGAGGUCCCCCCUGACCACUCUGCCCCCAUCUCCUGUCUUGAACAAAGCAUCCGUCACCCCGUGUUGACGAGUGGUCCAAAUCGGAGAAAAGAUGUCUUUCUCAAAUGGGUUUAGUGAUAUGAGUGGCCCUUGUGUCAACCCGGUGAGGGGAGUGUGGCUGUGGAGCUGCCCCUGCUGGGCCGUGCAGGGGGCCGGACAGGAGCGGAGGUGGGGCAGGGAGUGCCGGCGGCUUCCUUUUGGGUCUUGUGCACUGCUGUAUGAGAGCUGCGCGUGCAUGAGUGAGCGAGGGUGCGUGUGCGCGCGUGCCCAUGCCAGGGCGGGUGCCAAGCUGUGGGGGGCGUGCCUGCCCUUGGGGCACCCAGGGGAGUGGGAUGCUGCUGGGGUCAGGGUCAUAGGUCACGCUUCCCUCUUCCUUCUCCUCGCUUUUGAAGAGGCUUGCCUGUGUUCACCUGCUUUUCAAAAAUUAAGUCUCUCUGGGCCUUCAGGAAUGUCAUUUCCAGCUUACUCCCCGUGUUGAUCAUUUAACCUUUCUUAGAACACCCGCGUCUGUGGGCGUGCUGUUUGGAGAGUUGGGGGCUGCUCUUGCACAGUGUUCUUCCUUGGGUCCGGUUAUGGGGAAACAAGCAGGGCUGGCGUUUGGCUCUCACAAGAGCGCUCGGCUGGGCUGCUCCGGGAGAGACGCAGCGUCUGCUGCAUUCCUCUCUGGACAGCGCCACUACCUCCUGGGCUUCACCCGCCAGCUCCAUCGUAACCUCCGGAACCAGAGAAUGAGGGGUUCAGGGUUCAGCUCGCAGCUGACAGAGUUGAAGUGACUGCCCUUGCCUGAGCCAGUGACAGCUGAGCCCUUCUCCCUUCGCCACCUUUCUCCUCUCAGAGCCUUCUUCCCCCCUCCUCUUUUUUUUUAAGGCACAUACAUGUUCUUUUCCUACCCUGUGCUUGUCCAUGUCGGCUUUCGUUGUAUGCAGCUUGUCCUUAGAGUGCCUGUCCCCGGUGCAGGUGCCUUGCCUUCUAAGAUGUGGGCAUGGCUGUCAAUCGAGUAUGUACCAGACAUACAUGGAAGUACAGGUGAUUUAUCCACACUGAGAAAGAAAGUGCUCUGUUGACUAGAUUCAGGAGCCAUGUGUCUUAGUGAGGGCCAGGAGAAGGUUCAGUGCCAACCACAUAGCCGGCACGCAGAGCUGGUCCCAUACCAUGUGGCCUCGCUGGGCAUGGAGGGGAGGGAGUGGGGCUGUGGCCUCCACAGGCUCAGGUGGCCCACUGCGCCUUGCCCCUCUCUGGGAACUCCAGGAAGCCAGGCUUGGGUGGGGCUGUUUCCUUCCCUCUUUCUGUGGACCUGACCAGGACAGUGGGCGAUGGGUCGUGUAGCAGGUGGCCCCGUGGGGUGCACAAAGGCACUGCACCUGCUGUUCUGAACCUUGGCUCUCAGGAGUGUUACAGACCUGCUUUGCGGGAGAUGCCUCUCGCGGGUGUGCCGGAGCUGGUGGGCCCCGCACGUUCUCCAGGCCCUUACUGCCGCCCUGUGGUAUUUGUGGCCGAGGCCUGUAGGCAUUGCAGGAGUCGCCCCGUGGCACAAACUCACCGAGGGCCAGGUGCCAGCCCAGGGGCUCCAGGUGGUUCUGUACUUUCUUAAAACAUUUGCUUUCUGAGAACAUCAGCUGUAGGCUUACCACCCAGAAGAGACCACUGUGAACAUUUUGGUGUAUAACCCCCCCACCCCCCAUGCACAUAUUUGUUUGCUUUUUAAACUGAAGUGGGAACAUGAAACACACACUGUUCUGCAUCUAGCUUGUUUCACUUGAUAAUUUAUCUUAGGCAUUUUUCCACAUCAUGAACAAUGAUUAAAAACAUUGUUUUUAGUGAUUGUAGAGCUUAAUAUGGUUAUCAGUUUUAUCGUAACUUAUCUGACCAUUUUCCUGUUAUAAAACAUUUAGAUGGUUUCUGGUUUUUCACUAUUUAAAUAAUGCUGUGAUGAAUACCCUCGUAAAUCUUUGAUUUUGACUCUGAUCGCCCCCCACCCUUGGUUCCUAGAAGUAGUGUUUUGGGGUCACAAAGAGUUUGUUUUAAAGGUGGUAUUAGUCUCUCUUCCUGUCUUCAUCUGAGGCUUAGAUGCUCAGAGUUCCAGCACACAACCUCCUCAGUUGUCCUACAGAUUCUGGACAAAUCAGUUUCUGCUAAGGUGUGUGUUCCAAAGAAUGUUUUAAUAAGACUGCUCUUUUUUUUUCCCCCCACAAUGCUAAAAUAUCAUUUAUUGCAGUCCGUUUGUGACAGAUUUUUCCAAAAAUGCAUUUCCUUAUUUUCAUUGACAGAAUCUGGUUAUGCUUGCAUGUUAGUUACCUUCCCAUCCCUGCUGCUGUGGCUUUCACAUGCUUGGUGAUAUUUUCAGAAGCUUGUACUUUGUGUCCACAAUGGUACUGAAUUUGCAUCUGCACAGGCAGCAGAGAUAAAAAGUGUUGAACUGACCUUGCCACAUGCAUAGUGGAUGAUUUGUAAUUAAGUGUGUGUAGACUCCGAAAAUACAUUGGGCCAUUUGGAAUCAGUAAAAGAGCAAAAUGUCUACUUGAGAAAGAGACCAUGUAGGCAGUUGGGUUUAACAUAAGGUUAUUUGCCCCUGUGCUCUUCAAAUGGUGGCACUCAGUAGGAAGGUCUUAGCAGUUAGUAGAGCGCAGUGGCCAGGCCUUUUCACUGUAGAGGGUGAUUGUCCUGGCCCACGUGGCUUUCGGGACUCCUCCCCUGUCCUCCCUCACAGUGUUGCAGGUUGUCUGGCUGUCUUCAAACCCAGAACACCCAAUUUGGUUUCAUUCCUAAUUUCUCCACUUUAGUUUGGGGUCCAUUGAUUCUGAGAGGAGAGGUGUGUGAGAGAUUUUUUAGGUGCUGUGCUCAGUGUCACUUGAGUCUGCCAGAGAUUUUUGGCUGGAUUGUGGAGAAUUGGACUUCCUGCCCUCCUCUGACACCCCAGGUCCCCUGUCCCCUGUCCGGUCCACAGACAGGGUGCUCACUCCCCAGACCGCAGAGGCUGCAGCCGCUUGCCAGAAUAUGAUGCAGGUACUAUUCUUAGAGAUGUCGCCAUGUGCAUUUUUCCACAUUGUUUCUUUUCAUCCAAAGCUCACAUGAGCUGACAGUGACUCAGGUGGGUGUGGCCCUUCCCACUUAGGCAGCCUAUAUGGCAAGUGCCCUAAAUCAGGGCAGGAGUCACUUCCAGAGCUUCUGAGGGGGGCAGGCUGCUGGCCCAAGGUUGCGGAGUUGCAAAUCAGGCUGCCUGUGGAGAACUGGUUUGGGGAAGGAGCUGUUCCAGCCAAGAGCAGUUUUAUCUGUAGCUCGGACAGCUGUGAUGGGCAACUGAACUAGCCUACAUGUAUACCUGAAUUUUCCCCAGAACCCACUUUUUCAGUGUGAAGAGACACCAAACUUCGCGAACAGAGAACUUUUUACAAAAGGCAGACCUUUUUUUAGCGUGUGAUCCACCCUAGUCCCAACCAAUCUGGCAGAAUGAUUUUUGAAUAGGGGUCGUUUUGCUGGUGAAAAGCCUCUCUAUCCUUAUCAGAAGUUUGAUUGGACAUUGACAAAAAUAAAUUUUUGCAUUAUUUAGAACUGCUGUAGCUGUUCCUUAACACAAAAUCGGAUGAAUCAAUAGUAUGUUAGCUGUCUUUCAGGUUGGUGGCAGUCAGUUAGAACAUGUGUAAAAUUCUCUACCUGGUCUGUAGCUGUAACUGUGAUGUACAGGCAAAGCAAAAAUUUAAAACUUAUGAAAACAAAUAAUGCAAUGAUAUUAGGAUAUACACUUUUGUAUUUUUAUUCUUAUAUAAGGUUAUUUGCUGGCUAUUGUUGGCCUCUAGUUCAGUCUGUGUUAUUUAAAAUCUAAUAUAUGAAUUAUUUGGAUUGAAUUCAUGUUCGGGGCCACGUUGUUGUAUGUAUUGAUGUACAGCCUUGAAUGUGAAUAAUUAUUGUAAACUAUAUUUUACAACUUUUUUUCUGGCUUUAUUAUAUAAAUUUUCUAUUUGGUCAAUGAUUUAAUCAUAUAAUUUAAUGAAUCUGUUUCUUCUCUUUUUUUCAAAUAUUUGUGCUUUAGAUGUAGUUACUGGAUGAUGAAUUUUCCACGUAUGCUCGGUAGUCUUGUAAUAAAAAGCAUGUAGAGUGUA